GUUCUCCAAUUCAGAUCUCCCAUAGCUUAAAAAUAGGUAUGUGGUUCACUGUGAGUGGUUAUGGCUGAAAGGAAGACUCAGUGUGCAUCAUUAAAUAUGGAAUUGGAUGUAUAGUCAGAAAUAAGAUAGGCCUUAUUAGAGUUUAUCAAGUUGGUCGAGGAGUCCAAAAAUCUAACCAUUAUAGGAGCAUCAAUAUUAUAAUCUACCAGUCGUAAAGGUUGUCUGCAUUUUCGAUGUGGUCGAGAGUUAGGAGCAUGGAGGGAUGGAGGCUAGUUGAGGGAGGGGCAAUGGGCUCAGCCUUAGAUUGGGUCGAGUUCAGAUUUAUUCGACCCACUGCUGGAGCAAGUUGGGCAAGAUUAGAUGGAGCUAUGGUGGGCUGAGCCAAUGUUGAGUUAGACUGAAAAGAACCCAACUGUGAUAAGCUGGAUGGGCCAGCUUGUAUCGAAGCUAGAUUGGGCCGAAGAAGGCCCAUCUCAAGUAAAUGGGAUGAGUCUGUUGAAACCGAGACUGCAUUGGGCCUAGUGAGGCUCAAUUCUGUUGGGACCAUAUCUUGGCUCAAAAGAAGAUCAUCAAAAUUUGGUUGGAAAAGCU
RNAcentral lists this long non-coding RNA (591 nucleotides) under Elaeis guineensis (African oil palm). RNAcentral's name for it is "long non-coding RNA (EGUI_LNC008111)". Lineage: Eukaryota; Viridiplantae; Streptophyta; Magnoliopsida; Arecales; Arecaceae. The record is from RNAcentral.